This 65-nucleotide transfer RNA is filed under the name Marmota marmota marmota (Alpine marmot). It matches the Rfam family "tRNA". Rfam says of the family: Transfer RNA (tRNA) molecules are approximately 80 nucleotides in length. Lineage: Eukaryota; Metazoa; Chordata; Mammalia; Rodentia; Sciuridae. The record is from Rfam by way of RNAcentral. RNAcentral also lists the same sequence under 2 other names.
GGUGUGGCUCAGUGACAGAGCACUUGCUUGGCAUAUGCAAGACUCUGGGUUCAAUCCCUAGCACC